UGCAUCAUGAAGAUUUAUAUUAUGUGUACCUAGGAGACAUGAUCAGAAACAGUUCUUACAAACUUGCCAUAUGAAUUUUUAAGUGGGAAAAUAUGCAAAUAGAAAAAAUAUCCAAACAAAACAAGGUAGAUAUGUGUUAGUACAGAAAUUAUUACCUUUGCAUUGAAUCCUGCUUAAAUGCAGGCUUCAACAGGUUCAGGAUCCGAUUUUGGCAAGCUGUUUAAACAGCUGCUAACUUUGAGUGUGCCAGCAGUGUCAGCAUGACUCAGUAGAACUAAUUAGAUGGUAAAGAGUAACUGAGUUUAGAAACUCUGCUCAUCUGACACUGCACCCCCUGAUUUCUCGUUGCCACUCCCCCAUCAAUAAAUGAGAUUGUAUCAUUACUGUAGGUGGGAUAAAAAUUUAGUCACUUGCUCUCAGGACUUGCUGCAAAAUUCUUUGUGUAUAAGUACUAAUUUCUUGCUGAAUUCUGAAGCAAAUACAAAUUUAACACUUAGAAAUAUGAAAUCCAAGUUGAAUGUGGUAUAAACCAUGAAGUCCUGCCUCAAAUGGAGACCAGUAGUUGAGAUUUCAGAGCUGGCC
Molecule: long non-coding RNA, 582 nt
Filed under: Lonchura striata (white-rumped munia)
Lineage: Eukaryota; Metazoa; Chordata; Aves; Passeriformes; Estrildidae
Description: domestica (Bengalese finch) lncRNA (ENSLSDG00000016667.1)
Source: RNAcentral